RNAcentral lists this transfer RNA (67 nucleotides) under Eolagurus luteus (Yellow steppe lemming). RNAcentral describes it as "tRNA-Trp". Lineage: Eukaryota; Metazoa; Chordata; Mammalia; Rodentia; Cricetidae. The record is from RNAcentral.
AGAAGUUUAGGAUAUAUAGUCCAAGAGCCUUCAAAGCCCUAAGAAAACCUAUAAAGUUUAACUUCUG